UUCGAUGCUGCACGAAGAACCGUUACCAGGUUGACAUGCAAGUCGGUAGGGAAACUGAAAGGGACCGACCCUUCGGGAGCUUGCACAGGUGCUGCAUGGCUGUCGUCAGCUCGUGUCGUGAGAUGUUCGGUUAAGUCCGCUAACGAGCGCAACCCUCACUGUGUGUUAUAUGUGUCACACGGGACUGCCGGUUUUAAGCCGGAGGAAGGUGGGGAUGACGUCAAGUCAGCAUGGCCUUUAUAUCCUGGGCUACACACACGCUACAAUGGUCGGUACAAUAGGUUGCCAAGCCGCGAGGCGGAGCCAAUCCAAAAAAGCCGGCCUCAGUUCAGAUUGUAGGCUGCAACUCGCCUGCAUGAAGUUGGAGUUGCUAGUAAACGCAGGUCAGCUAUACUGCGUUGAAUACGUUCCCGGGGUUU
Molecule: ribosomal RNA, 419 nt
Filed under: uncultured Anaerolineaceae bacterium
Lineage: Bacteria; Bacillati; Chloroflexota; Anaerolineae; Anaerolineales; Anaerolineaceae
Description: bacterial SSU rRNA
Rfam family: Bacterial small subunit ribosomal RNA
Source: RNAcentral